RNAcentral lists this ribosomal RNA (467 nucleotides) under uncultured bacterium. RNAcentral's name for it is "partial 16S ribosomal RNA". It matches the Rfam family "Bacterial small subunit ribosomal RNA", at positions 28 to 507 of the family's 1533-position model. The record is from RNAcentral.
GACGAACGCUGGCGGCGUGCUUAACACAUGCAAGUCGAACGGAAAGGCCCUGCUUUUGUGGGGUGCUCGAGUGGCGAACGGGUGAGUAACACGUGAGUAACCUGCCCUUGACUUUGGGAUAACUUCAGGAAACUGGGGCUAAUACCGGAUAGGAGCUCCUGCUGCAUGGUGGGGGUUGGAAAGUUUCGGCGGUUGGGGAUGGACUCGCGGCUUAUCAGCUUGUUGGUGGGGUAGUGGCUUACCAAGGCUUGGACGGGUAGCCGGCCUGAGAGGGUGACCGGCCCCAUGGGACUAGGGGACGGCCCAGGAUCCCAUCGGGCGCAAUGGGCGGGAAUUUUGCCAAAUAGGGCGGAGUCCUGUGCCACGACCUCCGGGUCGGGAAUAUCGGCUUUUGGGUAAUAACCACUUUCUCCUUUAACAUAACCGUAUUGACGGUAAUGGGUAAAGAAGCACCGGCUAACUACGUG